AUUGAACGCUGGCGGCAGGCCUAACACAUGCAAGUCGAGCGGCAGCGACUUAACUGAACCUUCGGGGAACGUUAAGGGCGGCGAGCGGCGGACGGGUGAGUAAUGCCUGGGAAUAUGCCCUGAUGUGGGGGAUAACUAUUGGAAACGAUAGCUAAUACCGCAUAAUCUCUUCGGAGCAAAGAGGGGGACCUUCGGGCCUCUCGCGUCAGGAUUAGCCCAGGUGGGAUUAGCUUGUUGGUGAGGUAAUGGCUCACCAAGGCAACGAUCCCUAGCUGGUCUGAGAGGAUGAUCAGCCACACUGGAACUGAGACACGGUCCAGACUCCUACGGGAGGCAGCAGUGGGGAAUAUUGCACAAUGGGGGAAACCCUGAUGCAGCCAUGCCGCGUGUGUGAAGAAGGCCUUCGGGUUGUAAAGCACUUUCAGUAGGGAGGAAGGUAGUGUAGUUAACACCUGCAUUAUUUGACGUUACCUACAGAAGAAGCACCGGCUAACUCCGUGCCAGCAGCCGCGGUAAUACGGAGGGUGCGAGCGUUAAUCGGAAUUACUGGGCGUAAAGCGCAUGCAGGCGGCCUGUUAAGUCAGAUGUGAAAGCCCGGGGCUUAACCUCGGAAUUGCAUUUGAAACUGGCAGACUAGAGUCUUGUAGAGGGGGGUAGAAUUUCAGGUGUAGCGGUGAAAUGCGUAGAGAUCUGAAGGAAUACCAGUGGCGAAGGCGGCCCCCUGGACAAAGACUGACGCUCAGAUGCGAAAGCGUGGGGAGCAAACAGG
RNAcentral lists this ribosomal RNA (769 nucleotides) under uncultured bacterium. Its description in RNAcentral is "bacterial SSU rRNA". It matches the Rfam family "Bacterial small subunit ribosomal RNA", at positions 28 to 776 of the family's 1533-position model. The record is from RNAcentral.